CCGUGUUCUACAGGUAAUUAACUUAACCGCGGUCUACAGGUAAUUAACUUAACCGUGGUCUACAGGUGGUUAACAGCCUGUGGUCUACAGGUAGUUAACAGCCUGUGGUCUACAGGUAAUUAACAGCCUGUGGUCUACAGGUAGUUAACUUAACCGUGGUCUACAGGUAAUUAACUUAACUGUGGUCUACAGGUAGUUAACAGCCUGUGGUCUACAGGUAGUUAACAGCCUGUGGUCUACAGGUAGUUAACAGCCUGUGGUCUACA
Molecule: long non-coding RNA, 266 nt
Organism: Oncorhynchus tshawytscha (Chinook salmon)
Lineage: Eukaryota; Metazoa; Chordata; Actinopteri; Salmoniformes; Salmonidae
Source: Ensembl